UGGGUGUGAGCAGAGGGUGAUGAUAUGUCAGUUGAGCAGGCUAUUAGUGGAGAAGUUUCCGAUGUUCCAUUGCAGUAGUAGCAGAUUUAUUUGUUUUAGUUUUGUUUUGUUGUUGAGAUUACCAUUCUUAUAUAUAGUUUUGAUAGAACUACAUUGUAUAUAAAGUUUUAAAUUUAUAGUUAUUUUACAUGACUGUAAAUUAUACUUUAUAAUCUUUUCUCUAACUGUAUG
This 231-nucleotide long non-coding RNA is filed under the name Vigna radiata. Its description in RNAcentral is "long non-coding RNA (VRAD_LNC008105)". Lineage: Eukaryota; Viridiplantae; Streptophyta; Magnoliopsida; Fabales; Fabaceae. The record is from RNAcentral.